GAUGAACGCUGGCGGCGUGCCUAAUACAUGCAAGUCGAGCGAACGGACGAGAAGCUUGCUUCUCUGAUGUUAGCGGCGGACGGGUGAGUAACACGUGGAUAACCUACCUAUAAGACUGGGAUAACUUCGGGAAACCGGAGCUAAUACCGGAUAAUAUUUUGAACCGCAUGGUUCAAAAGUGAAAGACGGUCUUGCUGUCACUUAUAGAUGGAUCCGCGCUGCAUUAGCUAGUUGGUAAGGUAACGGCUUACCAAGGCAACGAUGCAUAGCCGACCUGAGAGGGUGAUCGGCCACACUGGAACUGAGACACGGUCCAGACUCCUACGGGAGGCAGCAGUAGGGAAUCUUCCGCAAUGGGCGAAAGCCUGACGGAGCAACGCCGCGUGAGUGAUGAAGGUCUUCGGAUCGUAAAACUCUGUUAUUAGGGAAGAACAUAUGUGUAAGUAACUGUGCACAUCUUGACGGUACCUAAUCAGAAAGCCACGGCUAACUACGUGCCAGCAGCCGCGGUAAUACGUAGGUGGCAAGCGUUAUCCGGAAUUAUUGGGCGUAAAGCGCGCGUAGGGCGGUUUUUUAAGUCUGAUGUGAAAGCCCACGGCUCAACCGUGGAGGGUCAUUGGAAACUGGAAAACUUGAGUGCAGAAGAGGAAAGUGGAAUUCCAUGUGUAGCGGUGAAAUGCGCAGAGAUAUGGAGGAACACCAGUGGCGAAGGCGACUUUCUGGUCUGUAACUGACGCUGAUGUGCGAAAGCGUGGGGAUCAAACAGGAUUAGAUACCCUGGUAGUCCACGCCGUAAACGAUGAGUGCUAAGUGUUAGGGGGUUUCCGCCCCUUAGUGCGGCAGCUAACGCAUUAAGCACUCCGCCUGGGGAGUACGACCGCAAGGUUGAAACUCAAAGGAAUUGACGGGGACCCGCACAAGCGGUGGAGCAUGUGGUUUAAUUCGAAGCAACGCGAAGAACCUUACCAAAUCUUGACAUCCUUUGACAACUCUAGAGAUAGAGCCUUCCCCUUCGGGGGGGCAAAGUGACAGGUGGUGCAUGGUUGUCGUCAGCUCGUGUCGUGAGAUGUUGGGUUAAGUCCCGCAACGAGCGCAACCCUUAAGCUUAGUUGCCAUCAUUAAGUUGGGCACUCUAAGUUGACUGCCGGUGACAAACCGGAGGAAGGUGGGGAUGACGUCAAAUCAUCAUGCCCCUUAUGACUUGGGCUACACACGUGCUACAAUGGACAAUACAAAGGGCAGCGAAACCGCGAGGUCAAGCAAAUCCCAUAAAGUUGUUCUCAGUUCGGAUUGUAGUCUGCAACUCGACUACAUGAAGCUGGAAUCGCUAGUAAUCGUAGAUCAGCAUGCUACGGUGAAUACGUUCCCGGGUCU
Molecule: ribosomal RNA, 1374 nt
Filed under: uncultured bacterium
Lineage: Bacteria
Description: bacterial SSU rRNA
Rfam family: Bacterial small subunit ribosomal RNA
Source: RNAcentral